UACGUAGGGUGCGAGCGUUAAUCGGAAUUACUGGGCGUAAAGCGUGCGCAGGCGGUUUUGUAAGCCAGAUGUGAAAUCCCCGGGCUUAACCUGGGAAUGGCAUUUGGGACUGCAAGGCUCGAGUGCGGCAGAGGAGACUGGAAUUCCUGGUGUAGCAGUGAAAUGCGUAGAUAUCAGGAGGAACACCGAUGGCGAAGGCAGGUCUCUGGGCUGACACUGACGCUGAGGCGCGAAAGCGUGGGGAGCAAACGGG
This 253-nucleotide ribosomal RNA is filed under the name uncultured bacterium. Its description in RNAcentral is "partial 16S ribosomal RNA". It matches the Rfam family "Bacterial small subunit ribosomal RNA", at positions 524 to 776 of the family's 1533-position model. The record is from RNAcentral.